AGGCAGGUGGCGCGCUGGCCUCAGUUGGGAGCCGCAUGGCCGAACGUUCACAGUAGUACUUCUCGGUGUCUGUGUGCGUGUGUGUCUGUGUAGUAUACAUGCACUACUAGCUUGAUGUGUACCACUGUAUUACCUGUACCCUACUGUAAACUAACCACUCUAGCUCCUUCGUUGGUUACUGAGGUGGCUAAUGCCGUGUGGUAAUCGGUUGUUGAAAGAGAGUUGAACCCGCAGUGCAGUUCUUUCGGGGCGAGUCCAGUUAUGACGUCACAUUGCUUCCCACUCCUCCUCCUGACGUCACACUGCCCACUCAUGACAUCACGGGUAAUACUGACUCGCUAAGCCUCAAUAUAACGACAGGAGUCUCAGAUGGAGGGUGAGAGGCUUAGCGGAGGUCGUGGUAGAAGGUGGGAGAGUGCGACAACGAGGGGGAUGUCCUCUGCUCGGUCUACAGCACCACACAAACACACCCCGACGUACUCACUGCUCGAUCACCCGUGGCAACAACAACGGGAGCAACAGUGACAGCAACAGGACCAACAACAGGGACAGUGGAAGUUAUAACGGUACCAACAGCUGUUAAGGAACCUGUUCAAUUUGACGAACUAUUGUGACGGUGCACGCGACCAAGCGACUACACCCUCAUCCCUAACCAGUGAACCAGUGACUACGCUCUCGCCUAUUCUCCACCGGCCACCACUCAUGC
RNAcentral lists this unclassified non-coding RNA (706 nucleotides) under Homarus americanus (American lobster). RNAcentral's name for it is "uncharacterized LOC121874550, transcript variant X1". Lineage: Eukaryota; Metazoa; Arthropoda; Malacostraca; Decapoda; Nephropidae. The record is from RNAcentral.